AGGAGCUGCCGCAGGCUGCGAUCUUUUGACUUUGUUUCAAAAAGAAAAGAUCAAAAGAUCGCAGCCUGCGGCAGCUCCU
Molecule: unclassified non-coding RNA, 79 nt
Filed under: Pseudomonas helmanticensis
Lineage: Bacteria; Pseudomonadati; Pseudomonadota; Gammaproteobacteria; Pseudomonadales; Pseudomonadaceae
Source: RNAcentral